Pelobates cultripes (western spadefoot toad) is the source of this 704-nucleotide non-coding RNA. Lineage: Eukaryota; Metazoa; Chordata; Amphibia; Anura; Pelobatidae. The record is from the annotation of a GenBank genome assembly.
CAACAAACAAUGUCAGAAGCGUCUUACCUGGGCUAAAGAAAAACAGACCUGGUCUGUUGCUCAGUGGUCCAAAGUCCUCUUUUCUGAAGAGAGGAACUUUUGCAUCUCAUUUGGAAACCAAAGACCCAGAGUCUGGAGGAAGAAUGGAGAGGCACACUCUGCAAGAUGCUUGAAGUCCAGUGUGAAGUUUCCACAGUCUGUGUUGAUUUGGGGAGCCAUGUCAUCUGCUGGUGUUGGUCCACUGUGCUUCAUUAAGUCCAGGGUCAACGCAGCCGUCUACCAAGAGAUUUCGGAGCACUUCAUGCUUCCGUCCUCAAACGAGCUUUUUGGGGAUGCUGACUUCAUUUUCCAGCAGGACCACACUGCCAAAAGCACCAAAGCCCGGUUCAAUGAUCGUGGGAUUACUGUGCUUGAUUGGCCAGCAAAUUCGCCUGACCUGAACCACAUUAAUUAAUUGGGCAUUGCCAAGAGAAAGAUGAGAGACAUCAGACCGAACAAUGCAGAAGAGCUGAAGGCCGCUAUUGAAGCAUCCUGGUCUUCCAUAACACCUCAGCAGUGCCACAGGCUGAUAGCUUCCAUGCCACACCGCAUUGAGGCAGUAAUUGCUGCAAAAGGGGCCCAAACCAAGUACUGAGUCCAUAUGCAUGCUUAUACUUUUCAGAGAUCCAAUAUUGUUCUAUGUACACUACUUGUUUUAUUGAUUG